UACGGAGGAUCCAAGCGUUAUCCGGAAUCAUUGGGUUUAAAGGGUCCGUAGGUGGAUUAGUAAGUCAGAGGUGAAAUCCUGCAGCUCAACUGUAGAACUGCCUUUGAUACUGCUAGUCUUGAGUCAUUAUGAAGUGGUUAGAAUGUGUAGUGUAGCGGUGAAAUGCAUAGAUAUUACACAGAAUACCGAUUGCGAAGGCAGAUCACUAAUAAUGUACUGACACUGAUGGACGAAAGCGUGGGGAGCGAACAGG
Molecule: ribosomal RNA, 253 nt
Filed under: uncultured bacterium
Lineage: Bacteria
Description: partial 16S ribosomal RNA
Rfam family: Bacterial small subunit ribosomal RNA
Source: RNAcentral